AAACUGANUNGCUAGAGNGCGGUAGAGGCAGACGGAAUUCCGGGUGUAGCGGUGGAAUGCGUAGAUAUNGGGAAGAACACCAGUGGCGAAGGCGCUCAACUGGGCNGUAACUGACACUCAGGGACGANAGCUAGGGUAGCAAAAGGGAUUAGAUACCCUCUGUAGUCNUAGCUGUAAACGAUGGANACUAGGCGCUGCU
RNAcentral lists this ribosomal RNA (199 nucleotides) under uncultured bacterium. RNAcentral's name for it is "partial 16S ribosomal RNA". It matches the Rfam family "Bacterial small subunit ribosomal RNA", at positions 630 to 827 of the family's 1533-position model. The record is from RNAcentral.